AGGGGGGUUUGACCAUGGCUCAGGAAUGAACGUUGGUGGCGUGGAUUAGGCAUGCAAGUCGAGCGAGAAUUGCCCGCGGAAGCUUCGGCCGAAGCGAUUCAAGGACAGCGGCAAACGGGGUAGUAAUGCGUAGGUUACGUACCCUCCGGACCGGGAUAGCCACGGGAAACUGUGGGUAAUACCGGAUAAUCUCUAUGGAGCAAAUGGUGAGAUUCCGCCGGAGGAGCGGCUUAUGUGGUACCAGGUUGUUGGUGAGGUAACGGCUCACCAAGCCAAAUACGCCUAGGGGGUGUGAGAGCAUGGCCCCCACCACUGGGACUGAGACACUGCCCAGACACCUACGGGUGGCUGCAGUCGAGAAUCUUCGGCAAUGGACGCAAGUCUGACCGAGCGACGCCACGUGCGGGAUGACGGCCCUUGGGUUGUAAACCGCUGUCAGAGGGGAUGAAACAUAGAGGGCUAUCCCUNUAUG
This 472-nucleotide ribosomal RNA is filed under the name uncultured bacterium. RNAcentral's name for it is "bacterial SSU rRNA". It matches the Rfam family "Bacterial small subunit ribosomal RNA", at positions 1 to 471 of the family's 1533-position model. The record is from RNAcentral.